RNAcentral lists this ribosomal RNA (196 nucleotides) under uncultured bacterium. Its description in RNAcentral is "partial 16S ribosomal RNA". It matches the Rfam family "Bacterial small subunit ribosomal RNA", at positions 1305 to 1500 of the family's 1533-position model. The record is from RNAcentral.
CUGCAACUCGCCUGCAUGAAGCUGGAAUUGCUAGUAAUGGCAGGUCAGCAUACUGCCGUGAAUACGUUCCCGGGACCUUGUACACACCGCCCGUCACACCAUGAGAGUUGGGAAUACCCGAAGCCUGUGAGCUAACUUAUAGAGGCAGCAGUCGAAGGUAGAAUCAAUGAUUGGGGUGAAGUCGUAACAAGGUACC